RNAcentral lists this long non-coding RNA (6043 nucleotides) under Sus scrofa (pig). RNAcentral describes it as "lncRNA (ENSSSCG00015033580.1)". Lineage: Eukaryota; Metazoa; Chordata; Mammalia; Artiodactyla; Suidae. The record is from RNAcentral.
GUCUAGUUGCCUUCUCAUGUGGUCUUUGAAACGUUUGAUAGCAAAAAAAAAUAUGUCCUUUAAUGACCUGGUUAUCUACUAGGGAUCAGAAAGAUGCACAGGUACAUCUCCUUUGACAGAACACAACCCUGAAAUCAUAAUCCUAACUUUUUUUUUUUUUUUAGGGCCACACGCAUGGCAUAGGGAGGUUCCCAGGCUAAGGGCCGAAUUGGAGCUGUAGCCGCCAGCCUACGCCACAGCCACAGCAAUGUGGGAUACGAGCCACGUCUGUGACCUACCACAGCUGGUGGCAACGCCGGAUCCUUAACUCACUGAGCAAGGUCAGGAAUCCUUAUGGGUGCUAACCAGAUUUGUUUCCACUGAGCCACGAUGGGAAUACCUCAUAAACCUAACUUUUGAGUGCAUGGGGAAAAAUUGAUACACUGACAUGACACUCUUAACACUGAAAGCAUUAUGCCAGCAGAUAUCCGACAGGGCUUCCGAGGGUGAGCUCUUCGGACUGGCAACAAAAUAAGCCAGGGUAAUCCUACGAAUCCAGAUUCCUGGGCCAUGCUCCCAGAUCCACUAAAAUCUAAAAAUCUACGAAUGGGAGGCCCCUGAAUCUGUAUUUUAACAAGUGCUCCAGGUGAUUCUAACCCCUUGUCCCGAAGUGUUUGUUGGCAGUGGAGAGCAGAAGUGGGCAAACAAUGUUGAAGGUGAUUUAGGAAUAAGGCCAUUUAUUUGUCCAGGAGCUUUAAACUCAUCCUAUACCCGCCAUGUUCUUCCUGAAAGUUGGCCGUUGCCCUGGAAUGCAAGUUUACAGGUUCUCUGCAGUCUGGGAUUCUGAGGGCCAAGUUACUGCGUCAUCUGUUGAGAUCCGAAGGAGCCUUCUAGAGGUGGGAUGAGGCUCUGGAUGUGAAAAAAAGAGGAGCAGAGUCAGAACUGAGGACGCUGAAGAAAACCAUUUGAAGACUUGAGAGAGAACGUUUGGGUAUGCUCCCCAGCAGCAGGCAUCAAACUGCCUUAUACCUAUGCUUGGGUUAUAGGAAGGUGUUGCAGUGGGUAUGAGGCAGGGUGGUUUUAUGGAAACCAGACUUGCAGAUCUUCAUCUACACAAUUGGUCUCCCUGAGAUGGAGUCAGUCUUCUGCGGCUUUACCUUGCCCUCCUUUUCCCAGACCCCUUUUCUUCUUACUUUAGAAAAGAAAGGCAGAGCUCUCAUCAUCUGGAACAGCUGGUUAGGCAUCCAGUGACCCAAGAGCUGAGAGCUAGCUGGGCAGUGUUAGAGAAGGAAGAAUAAUUGGAAGAGAAGAAAUCUGUGCUUUAGCCACAUGUCACGAUGCACUGCAACAGCCUCCCAAACUUACCUUGUCUCGAAGACCCCUGAUAAACAUGCCUCCCGCACUUACUCUGGCCAAAUGAGCCAAGUUGUCUGAGGAUCAAAUAAAAGCAAAGAACAAGGGAUCAGAACUUUGAAAUGCGUUCCCUUUAGACCGCAGCUGUGACCCUGCCUCCCGGCACUCUGCUUGUCUCCUUAGCAGGAGCAGGGGCUGCUCCCCUCCUUCAAUACAGUACCUACAGUAUGGGGCUGGAAAAGUCAUCAAAGCAUUAAAGGUAUUAGGGGUGUUUACUCCACAUUCCUAUUCAGCUGCUGCCCAAUUAACAUGAUUUGCAGCUGAGAAAAUAAUACUCUCCUCCGUCAGAGAUAAAUUGGGUCCCCAAACGUGAAACAAAGGGGAGAGAGCCGCUGAUGUUUAUAGAAGUUAUUGCAAACAAAUGCACUUCAAAAGGAGUUGUGGUGACAGAUUCUGUUUCACAGGGUCCUCCCAAUUCUUCUCGGCCUCCUGAGACCCUUCCUCAGGCUCUGCUAGGUGUUUUCGCCACUCGACCGCUGCUUUAAGAUCUACUGCCCUGUGUAAAUUAGCCUGGUCUGCAGUCUAGACCUGCCCUGCCCAAGACGGUAGCCACUGAGCACUUGCGAGGCGGCUAAUUCUGAUGCAGGUGUGUUGUAAAUAUGUAAUACACGCCAAAUUUCAGAGACGUAGUUCCCUCGUCUAAUUACUAAAUUAUCCUUAUAAUUUUUAUAUUGAUAACAAUAAUAUUUGGGAUAUACCGGGUUAAAACAUUUUUAAAAUUCGUUUCGCCUGUUUCUAGUUAUUUGUUUGUUUGUUUAUUUAUUUAGCGUGGCUAUGAGGAAAUUUAAAACAGCAUGUGUGCCUCUCAUUGUGACAUGCAUUCUAUUUCCACUGGAGAGCCUGUUUGUCUAGACUGUGGGUUCAGCAGCCCUGGGCGAAGGCUGAUGGGAAUGGGAAAGUCCAGUUUGGAAUGGUAAGUGGCACUGGGGAGAUUUUGGGCUGGCAGUGACCCCUCUUGCCGAAAAGAGGUAUAUUUGUGACAGUUGCAGCAUGUGGAGCCCAGGCUAACAGAUUGUAAACCUGCCUUCCUUCUGGUUCUAAUACUUACUUAACCUCAAAGGAACUUUAAAUUUAAACCAAAUGGCAUGUGAGAUUUCAGUAGGCUGAUGUAUUGCUCUCCAUUCAGCCAUUUGAGAAAUCCUACUGAGGUCCCCAUGCAGCUGAGUUCCAGUCGCCGCCAUAUCCCAAUGGAAGUCUGGCACAGCACUAAUGAGCUGAUGAGAUUUUUUUUCUCACUUGUUUGAUAUUAAAUAGGAGAACCUUUGGAAUUGAACGUUUACAGAUAGUGUGAAAAUUGGAAAUGUGGGUUUUAGCCGAGCCAACUCCAACAGAUCCAAAGACUGCAGUUGCCUGAUGGUAAGAGAACAGUGCUUCUGGCUCCCACGGUGAGUUCCACCACCAGCUUGGCUGCGUGGAAGCUGCUUGCCAGCUUCCUCCUUUCUGGUGGUGAAUUUCUCAGACACUGGGCCUACAGGGUUCAUUCUCCUGUGGGUACAGCUCUGUCCUAACCACCAUUCUUUAAGAUAACAAUUUAAAGCUUUUGGAUUAUGAGGCUGAGUCCAUUUUGUUUUGUUCCGAAGUUGUGCCCAGACCUUGGCAGGGGUCCCUCAAAUAACAAUAACAACGACAAUAAUAAUAUCAGCAAAUAUUUCUUGAGCACUUACUAGGUGCUCUAAAUAUGUUAGGUCACUUAAUCUUUAGCUCUAUGGGACAUAAAGGGUUUUUUGUUUUGUUUCGUUUUGUUCUGGAGUUUUUUGUUUUUUACGUCACCCAAGGUUACAUAGCAAGUGGUCAACCCCGUCUCUCUGACCAGAGCCCACACACGGAACUAUUCCAUUAUUCUUGUGGAGAAUGAAUAUUAAAAUCUCAACAGCAUCCAUCAGAAAUAGCAAAAUGAUGAAUCAGAACUUCUCCAGUCAUUCUGGGGCAUGUGUGUGAACCCGUGACUCCAAGGUAAAUGCUCUCUAUUACAAUGAUUUUUUUUUUUUUUUUUGACAAAAAGAUCUCUACUAAGAACUUAGUUCACACAGAGCCCUCUGAGAAUAACUUCCAGAUUUGACUUUAGUAAAAUCUUCCAAAAUUGGGGAUAAUGUGAUAUAGACAAACUUUCACUGUGAAAGUCUUCCUUUAAGUAAAAUCCUAUCUUUAGAUUAAAUGCAAAAUAGCUCUACAAAGGGAAACGGCUCAGACCUCCACAAGCCUAUCCAUCUGUGUUGCAGGAUAUGGCCUGAGGGCACCCACACAGCCAGUGAGGCCCAGAGCAAUGCCGAACUGCCGGUGAACCCGGGUUAGCAAAUCUGGAUUUGAAUUCUAGCUUUGUCAUUUCUCGUCCUGUAAGCCUUGCUGGGCCUUCAUGAAACUUGCUACCAUCAGGUAGCUAGGCUUCCCCACGGUUCCCUGGGAAAAGAAAGUGGAUCCUAUUGAGCUUUCCCAAAAAGACUCUUCUUUCCGUGGGUGCAGAAGGGAAGGUCUGGCCUUCCCAGGCUUCUCACCACUCCUCCCUUUCUUGAACUGGGGUGAACAGCCAGUCUCUAAAUCGAGCUUUCACCUCUGCAAGUGGCCUCAGCAAUUCCCCGUGGGGAUGAGGUAGGCCAUGGCAAAAGUUCUCCAGAUGACUCUUUCCUGAAGGGAGACGCAGAGCAGCAGGAAGAGAGUGGGGAAAUCAGAGGUUGAGCAAGGAUCUUGGAGAUUUAAGAGGGACCUGUACAAGGGCCAAAGGCACCAUGGAGCUACACACACUCCAGAGCUUUUGCAGCAAAGCAGAGGAAUUUCUUUUGCCUCCCUUCUCCAGCCACAUGCUUCCGCUUCUCGCCUCAAACUCUCGUGAAGCUAUACUAGGAAAGGGAUGCUCUGAACUUUGGGGCUCCGUGAGAAGAGAUACUUUUUUAAAAAAGCAGUAUUUCAAUAGAAAGCACAUGCACAUGGAUGGUGAGUGAGAACAUUUGAGAAGGCUUUUUUUUUUUUUUUUCUCCAGAGAAUCUUCUCUUUAGCGGAGGAACUUUAGAAGAGGACGAUUCAAGGGAUCACAGGGUUCUCUUCCUACCUCUGUGGUCCAGGCUGUCACACCUUGUGCCGAAGCAGAACAAGAAGGAUUGGCUAGGCGGUGCCUUCUAUGUGGCACUGUGCUCAAGGCUGGCAAGGCUACAAUGUCAGGCAAAUAAAAUCUUAAGACGUGGCUCCUGAUUUGAGAGGCUUGUUGGGAAUUUCAACACAGAAGACUGAAACCCUCCAGGGCAGUCAGAAAUGCUACCGAUCAAUCUCUAGGGUGGCUGUGCUGUCAUUCAGACAGUGCACAUGCUCCAGUCUCCAGAAGGUUCCCAGUCUCUGUGGUGAAGACGUAGAGGCUUGUGGGGUAUGUGGGUGAGGGGUACCAAAAGCAUCUGUCCUCUUGGGGUGCACAUACUGGACCCUUCAAGGAUCCCACUAGUUUCUCCUGGACUCAUCAACCUUUAUAUGGAUCUUGUUAACCCUCAUGGGCCUGUUGUCUUACGUUUCAAAGAAUUGACUGUAUUGUGUAUCUGUCCGGACAUGUUUUCAUUAACUUACCUAAACCUUGAAGCUUUAACUUUCAAAUUACUUAUUAGGCUUGAUGCAAAGAAGGGAGAAGAAAAUGGUGUCAGUACACUGUGCUGAAAGCAUUCACCAACACAUGUCAACUCUGCAGUGCACUUAACUUUUCCAGAUGUGGCUGGAUAGGCUGCCCGGUCAGUGACAUUGCAGAUGAAUGGCCACAGCCCGCUGUAGGCGGAUGAACAUGGGUACCUUUGAUGUGAUGGGGAGACUCCUCUCAUCUAUUAGCCAGAAGGAAAAGCCAUUUUCUUUCUGUUGAGUCCUCAGCUUCUUCCCACCUCAAGGAGACCGUGUAAUUAGCAUACAUCAACACUCAGUACUGGGCCCCGGGGCUCUCAUUCCAAACCCAUUUGCAUGUAGCCAGUAGCCACAAUGGAGUCAAAAUAAAACUUAUGCCAAGGACAUCUGUAGACUGUUCCUUUUUUUUGUUUGUUUUUGCUUUUUAGGGCCAUACCUGUGGCAUAUGGAAUGUCCCAAGCUAGGGGUCGAAUCAGAGCUGCAGCUGCUAGCCUACACCACAGCCACAACAACACAGGAUCAAAGCCAUGUCUGUGACCUACACCACAGCUCACGGCAAUGCUGGAUCCUUAACCCACUGAGUGGAGCCAGGGAUCAAACCUGUAUCCUCAUGGAUACUAGUCAGGUUCAUAACCUGCUGAACCACAAUGAGGACUCCCAAUAGGCUGUUCUUUUACUAGGCAUGGUGUUCAUAUAGACAGGAAAAUGGUUGCAGUUAGCCUGUUCAAUCAAACUUUCAUCCCAAGCACACAAAGCAAGCACUCAGGUCCCUUACUGUCAGAUAUAGUUCAUCUUCUCCCAUCCUGCCUAGAGAAAGUUUCAAGUGUGUAAUAGCUCUUGUCCUCCAGGGAGGAAAAUAAUAAUUGGAUAUACAAAGACGAGAAAGAGCUGUUUAGAUUUCUAUCUCCCUGGCAGAUAGAAGUAGUCAAAGAAUUUUCUGGUUUUCUUCUGCAGCAGGAUGGACCGGACUUUGGCAUCAUAGUAGCACUGGUUUAAAAUGCUUUAUUUCUAUGGGGGGAGAGAGGGAUGGGCCAGGACUUUGGGAUGGGGAAAAAAGAAAAAA